RNAcentral lists this ribosomal RNA (525 nucleotides) under uncultured archaeon. RNAcentral's name for it is "bacterial SSU rRNA". It matches the Rfam family "Archaeal small subunit ribosomal RNA", at positions 475 to 997 of the family's 1478-position model. The record is from RNAcentral.
ACCGGCGGCCGAGUGGUGAUCGUGAUUAGUUGGUACGUAAGGGUCCGUAGCCGUUGGUCAGUCCUCCGGGAAAUCUGAUAGCUCAACUAUUAGGCUUUCGGGGGAUACUGCCAGACUUGGAACCGGGAGAGGUAAGAGGUACUACAGGGGUAGGAGUGAAAUCUUGUAAUCCCUGUGGGACCACCUAGUGGCGAAGGCGUCUUACCAGAACGGGUUCGACGGUGAGGGACGAAAGCUGGGGGGCACGAACCGGAUUAGAUACCCGGGUAGUCCCAGCCGUAAACGAUGCUCGCUAGGUGUCAGGCAUGGCGCGACCGUGUCUGGUGCCGCAGGGAAGCCGUGAAGCGAGCCACCUGGGAAGUACGGCCGCAAGGCUGAAACUUAAAGGAAUUGGCGGGGGAGCACAACAACGGGUGGAGCCCUGCGGUUUAAUUGGACUCAACGCCGGACAACUCACCGGGGGCGACAGCAAUAUGUAAGGCCAAGCUGAAGACUUUGCCUGAAUCGCUGAGAGGAGGUGCAUGG